RNAcentral lists this ribosomal RNA (585 nucleotides) under uncultured bacterium. RNAcentral describes it as "partial 16S ribosomal RNA". It matches the Rfam family "Bacterial small subunit ribosomal RNA", at positions 355 to 937 of the family's 1533-position model. The record is from RNAcentral.
UGGGGAAUUUUGGACAAUGGGCGAAAGCCUGAUCCAGCAAUGCCGCGUGUGUGAAGAAGGCCUUCGGGUUGUAAAGCACUUUUGUCCGGAAAGAAAUCCUUGGCUCUAAUACAGUCGGGGGAUGACGGUACCGGAAGAAUAAGCACCGGCUAACUACGUGCCAGCAGCCGCGGUAAUACGUAGGGUGCAAGCGUUAAUCGGAAUUACUGGGCGUAAAGCGUGCGCAGGCGGUUUGCUAAGACCGAUGUGAAAUCCCCGGGCUCAACCUGGGAACUGCAUUGGUGACUGGCAGGCUAGAGUAUGGCAGAGGGGGGUAGAAUUCCACGUGUAGCAGUGAAAUGCGUAGAGAUGUGGAGGAAUACCGAUGGCGAAGGCAGCCCCCUGGGCCAAUACUGACGCUCAUGCACGAAAGCGUGGGGAGCAAACAGGAUUAGAUACCCUGGUAGUCCACGCCCUAAACGAUGUCAACUAGUUGUUGGGGAUUCAUUUCCUUAGUAACGUAGCUAACGCGUGAAGUUGACCGCCUGGGGAGUACGGUCGCAAGAUUAAAACUCAAAGGAAUUGACGGGGUCAUAGCUGUUGCCU